This 253-nucleotide ribosomal RNA is filed under the name uncultured Stenotrophomonas sp. RNAcentral describes it as "partial 16S ribosomal RNA". It matches the Rfam family "Bacterial small subunit ribosomal RNA", at positions 99 to 354 of the family's 1533-position model. Lineage: Bacteria; Pseudomonadati; Pseudomonadota; Gammaproteobacteria; Lysobacterales; Lysobacteraceae. The record is from RNAcentral.
CGGACGGGUGAGGAAUACAUCGGAAUCUACUCUGUCGUGGGGGAUAACGUAGGGAAACUUACGCUAAUACCGCAUACGACCUACGGGUGAAAGCAGGGGAUCUUGGACCUUGCGCGAUUGAAUGAGCCGAUGUCGGAUUAGCUAGUUGGCGGGGUAAAGGCCCACCAAGGCGACGAUCCGUAGCUGGUCUGAGAGGAUGAUCAGCCACACUGGGACUGAGACACGGUCCAGACUCCUACGGGAGGCAGCAGGU